This 497-nucleotide ribosomal RNA is filed under the name uncultured bacterium. Its description in RNAcentral is "partial 16S ribosomal RNA". It matches the Rfam family "Bacterial small subunit ribosomal RNA", at positions 28 to 507 of the family's 1533-position model. The record is from RNAcentral.
GAUGAACGCUGGCGGCGUGCCUAACACAUGCAAGUCGAACGGAAAGACGAUGCGCUUGUUCCUUUGUCGUUAGCGGCGGGCGGGUGAGUAACGCGUGGAUAAUCUCCUUAUCUGUCUGGGAUAACUACGGGAAACCGGAUCUAAUACCGGAUAAUAUAUUGAACCGCAUGGUGCAUUAGUGAGAGACGGCUUUGGUGUAUGUAAUAGCUGGUUCCGCGCUGUAUUGUCUAGUUGGUAAGGUAACGGCCUACCAAGGCUACGAUGCGUAGCCGAGCUGAGAGGGUGAUCGGCCACACUGGAACUGAGACACGGUCCAGACUCCUACGGGAGGCAGCAGUAGGGAAUCUUCGGCAAUGGGCGAAAGCCUGACGCAGCAACGCCGCGUGAGUGAUGAAGGUCUUCGGAUCGUAAAGCUCUGUUAUUAGGGAAGAACAAAUGUGGAAGGAACUAUGGCCGGCUUGACGGUACCUAAUCAAAAAGCCCCGGCUAACUACGUG